GACGUAGGGGGCCAGCGUUGUUCGGAAUUACUGGGUGUAAAGGGUUCGUAGGCGGUCCUUUAAGUCUGAUGUGAAAGCCCACGGCUCAACCGUGGAGGGUCAUUGGAAACUGGGGGACUUGAGUGCAGGAGAGAAGAGUGGAAUUCCACGUGUAGCGGUGAAAUGCGCAGAUAUCAGGAAGAACACCCGUGGCGAAGGCGGUUCUCUGGGACGGUACUGACGCUGAGACGCGAAAGCGUGGGGAGCGAACAGG
This 253-nucleotide ribosomal RNA is filed under the name uncultured bacterium. RNAcentral describes it as "partial 16S ribosomal RNA". It matches the Rfam family "Bacterial small subunit ribosomal RNA", at positions 524 to 776 of the family's 1533-position model. The record is from RNAcentral.